RNAcentral lists this ribosomal RNA (585 nucleotides) under uncultured bacterium. RNAcentral's name for it is "partial 16S ribosomal RNA". It matches the Rfam family "Bacterial small subunit ribosomal RNA", at positions 355 to 1375 of the family's 1533-position model. The record is from RNAcentral.
UGGGGAAUUUUGGACAAUGGGGGAAACCCUGAUCCAGCCAUCCCGCGUGUGCGAUGAAGGCCUUCGGGUUGUAAAGCACUUUUGGCAGGAAAGAAACGUCGCGGGUUAAUACCCCGCGAAACUGACGGUACCUGCAGAAUAAGCACCGGCUAACUACGUGCCAGCAGCCGCGGUAAUACGUAGGGUGCAAGCGUUAAUCGGAAUUACUGGGCGUAAAGCGUGCGCAGGCGGUUCGGAAAGAAAGAUGUGAAAUCCCAGAGCUUAACUUUGGAACUGCAUUUUUAACUACCGGGCUAGAGUGUGUCAGAGGGAGGUGGAAUUCCGCGUGUAGCAGUGAAGUGCGUAGAUAUGCGGAGGAACACCGAUGGCGAAGGCAGCCUCCUGGGAUAACACUGACGCUCAUGCACGAAAGCGUGGGGAGCAAACAGGAUUAGAUACCCUGGUAGUCCACGCCCUAAACGAUGUCAACUAGCUGUUGGGGCCUUCGGGCCUUGGUAGCGCAGCUAACGCGUGAAGUUGACCGCCUGGGGAGUACGGUCGCAAGAUUAAAACUUAAAUGAAUUGACGGGGUCAUAGCUGUUUCCU